RNAcentral lists this transfer RNA (68 nucleotides) under Marmota monax (woodchuck). Its description in RNAcentral is "tRNA.Ala". Lineage: Eukaryota; Metazoa; Chordata; Mammalia; Rodentia; Sciuridae. The record is from RNAcentral.
GUUGUGGCUCAGGGGUAGAGUGCUCGCCUAGCACGUCUGAGACCCUGGUUUCGAUCCUCAGCACAACA